GACGAACGCUGGCGGCGUGCUUAACACAUGCAAGUCGAACGGAGUGGCGAACGGGUGAGUAACACGUGGGUGAUCUGCCUUGCACUUCGGGAUAAGCUUGGGAAACUGGGUCCAAUACCGGAUAGUGCAAGAUGAGCUCGCGGCCUAUCAGCUGGUUGGUGGGGUAUUGGCCUACCAAGGGGUCGACGGGUAGCCGGCCUGGGGGGGUGUACGGCGACAUUGGGACUGAGGUACGGCCCAGACUCGUACGGUGGGCAGCAGUGGGGAGUAUUGUACAAUGGUGGGAAGCGUGAUGCGGCGACGCCACGUGGGGGAUGAAGGCCUUCGGGUUGUAAACUCCUUUCGGCAGGGACGCGGUACCUGUAUAAGAAGCACCGGCUAACUACGUGCCAGCAGCCGCGGUAAUAC
Molecule: ribosomal RNA, 408 nt
Filed under: uncultured bacterium
Lineage: Bacteria
Description: partial 16S ribosomal RNA
Rfam family: Bacterial small subunit ribosomal RNA
Source: RNAcentral